Molecule: ribosomal RNA, 427 nt
Filed under: uncultured bacterium
Lineage: Bacteria
Description: partial 16S ribosomal RNA
Rfam family: Bacterial small subunit ribosomal RNA
Source: RNAcentral
UGGGGAAUAUUGCACAAUGGGCGCAAGCCUGAUGCAGCCAUGCCGCGUGUAUGAAGAAGGCCUUCGGGUUGUAAAGUACUUUCAGCGGGGAGGAAGGGGUUGAGGUUAAUAACCUCAGCAAUUGACGUUACCCGCAGAAGAAGCACCGGCUAACUCCGUGCCAGCAGCCGCGGUAAUACGGAGGGGGCAAGCGUUAAUCGGAAUUACUGGGCGUAAAGCGCACGCAGGCGGUCUGUCAAGUCGGAUGUGAAAUCCCCGGGCUCAACCUGGGAACUGCAUUCGAAACUGGCAGGCUAGAGUCUUGUAGAGGGGGGUAGAAUUCCAGGUGUAGCGGUGAAAUGCGUAGAGAUCUGGAGGAAUACCGGUGGCGAAGGCGGCCCCCUGGACAAAGACUGACGCUCAGGUGCGAAAGCGUGGGGAGCAAACA